GUGGCCGGAACGCCGAAUCCUGCCGCCGGCCACGGAUCAACGAACCCAUCGGCAUGGAGCGGGGGACCCAAGAGUUCCUCGGCGCUUCGGCGCCUCGGGGUGAAGCCGCAUCACGCGACCGGGCACCUCUGCCCGAACCCGACAGCUGACCUCGCAGGCGUGGAGGACAGAACUC
Molecule: small RNA, 175 nt
Filed under: Actinoplanes utahensis
Lineage: Bacteria; Bacillati; Actinomycetota; Actinomycetes; Micromonosporales; Micromonosporaceae
Description: c-di-AMP sequence
Rfam family: c-di-AMP riboswitch aptamer (ydaO/yuaA leader)
About the family: This family represents a conserved RNA structure found upstream of the ydaO and yuaA genes in Bacillus subtilis and related genes in other bacteria.
Source: Rfam by way of RNAcentral